Long non-coding RNA from Sarcophilus harrisii (Tasmanian devil), 268 nucleotides. RefSeq lists it as uncharacterized. Lineage: Eukaryota; Metazoa; Chordata; Mammalia; Dasyuromorphia; Dasyuridae. The transcript has 3 exons. The record is from RefSeq and is a predicted model, not a curated record.
CAUGAAGGUAGGAUCUUGUUGUCUUCUCCACUGGUGGGGUCUUGCUGUUGGCUUUCCAUGGAUAAUCAGAUCUCUCUGCUGAUAGACCACAGAGGUGAUGAUCAUUCAGUGCAAUACAAUUUAAUGGCCAAAUUCUUCUGAGAUUUAUUGGUGUCAGUCUAGGAAGAGGAGCAUUUUUUCUCAAGAUGAUGAAACAAGGCUCAAAGGCAUUAAACACCUUGAUCUGGCUGUACAAUUAAAUGUUAGAGGUAGGCUUUCAGACCUAGAU